This 482-nucleotide ribosomal RNA is filed under the name uncultured bacterium. Its description in RNAcentral is "partial 16S ribosomal RNA". It matches the Rfam family "Bacterial small subunit ribosomal RNA", at positions 30 to 507 of the family's 1533-position model. The record is from RNAcentral.
AUUGAACGCUGGCGGCAUGCUUUACACAUGCCAGUCGAACGGUAACAGGCCGCAAGGUGCUGACGAGUGGCGCACGGGUGAGUAAUGCAUCGGAACGUGCCCAGUCGUGGGGGAUAACUACUCGAAAGAGUAGCUAAUACCGCAUACGAUCUAUGGAUGAAAGCGGGGGACCGUAAGGCCUCGCGCGAUUGGAGCGGCCGAUGUCAGAUUAGGUAGUUGGUGGGGUAAAGGCUCACCAAGCCAACGAUCUGUAGCUGGUCUGAGAGGACGACCAGCCACACUGGGACUGAGACACGGCCCAGACUCCUACGGGAGGCAGCAGUGGGGAAUUUUGGACAAUGGGCGCAAGCCUGAUCCAGCAAUGCCGCGUGCAGGAAGAAGGCCUUCGGGUUGUAAACUGCUUUUGUACGGAACGAAACGGCUCUGGUUAAUACCCGGGGCUAAUGACGGUACCGUAAGAAUAAGCACCGGCUAACUACGUG